GGAGUAUGAACUCCACUGAGCCCACUGUCGUAAUAAAGGUUUUUCUCCACCUCUUCAAGUGACCAUCAGAUGCUCGAGUCUUCAAAUUGCAAUAGCUGUGAUGCUGAGCUGUGACACUCUGCUGUAACACUGAGCUCUAACACUUGGCUGUGCCUCAGAGCUGUAACACUUGGCUAUAGCACUGAGCUGUUCUGCUUUGCCACAACACCCAGAGCACUGGGAUUACAGGUGUAGCCCACAUUAGCUCAGAGGGAAUGUUGUAUAUUUUUGGGGGGUACCAGGGUUUGAACUCAGGACCUUGUGCUUGUGAGGCAGGCGGUGGAACCACUGAGCUAAAUCCCCAGCCUGGGAAUGUUGUAUUAAAUCAUCACUGCCAGACCAUCAGUUUUCUCUCUGAAGAUACACACCAGGUCAUGGAGCAGAAGCGGUAAACUCACAGAGGUGCUGAAUGACCAACAAGUGACAAGAACCUGUUGAUGUGAGUGUAACAAGGGCAGAAGUCAGUUGGAUCCAGACUACAAGUAGCAGAUUAUCCUGAGCUUCAUCAGAUGCCCAGCGCACAGAGAACACGAAAGGCAGUGGGCGCUUAUCUGACACGGACUCAGCCCCGGCACAGUGUCCACACAGGAGGUCGUGUUUGGCACUGGGCUGGCAUUUCACGUGCAGAGCCCUUUGUCAUCGUCUCAUAACCCAUGGGGGUCAGCCUGGCCACCACCCUGACUUGACCUGCAGUCGGGAAGGACCAGGGAGAACAGAGCUGCUUUGUAUGUCCGGAAUCUUCCGAUCAGCACCUGUCUGGGUUGCUAUGUAUGUAUCCACGUUGACAGUUCAUGUACUGCAGUGUAUUUAUCACCUCCCUUUCGAAUUGAACUGAGAACUCUAAGCGCCUGAUUUAAACCAUCAGCUGGAGAGCUUGCUGAGGCAGGCACAGCUGAAAGGCUUGGGCUCUGUGGUUGCCGAGCAAGACCUGAGCAGUCAGUCGCCCCUUGAACUGUAGGGCUCUGCACCUUGCUUCCCUAUGCUCACCACUUGUGGUAUUUGGAACUGGAUAGAGCCAGAAAUUCCAAAAAGAAGCCACCUCAGCAAAAUCAACAAUCUGUUUUUCCUUGAAAAUUCAAAGACGCACUAGACAAAUGAGUCCCUCUGAAAAGCUGUCCUUUUGUAAAGGAAAAUGAUAUCUACAAAGAAAAAUGAUCACCAGACAAGGUACCGGGAAGAGAGGCUUCAGACAACUUCUACAGCCUGAAAGCCUUUCAUCUACAAAAAGCAAACUGCUUUAUCCACCGUCCAUUUCCUUCUCUCCCUCUUAUAAUUUGUCUCCAUCUGCCCCAGAAGCCCGGUGCUCUUCCUGCCCUCAGGAUGCUCUAUAAACCUCGGUCAUGGGACCUUUCUGUGUGUCUCAUACUUUGGUGGGAUUUCCAUGUGUGAGAAAGCAGUUACAAUGGUUUCUCUCCUAUGUCAGUUUAAACUGUAGCCAAAGACGCCAGGAGGGCAGAGAGAAGCCAAGGGUCCCUCUCCCCAAAGGCAAGGCGAUGGGGUGGGAACUUGGAGGGGCCAGAGGAAGGGCAGAGAACCUAGUGGGAGACACUGACCCCUGGCCCCAGACAGAGCCAAGCCUCCGAGGGACGAAGGCCACCUCCCGGUUUCCUGUGCAAGGUGCUAACUACAUGGGGAAGGUCACCACUUACCG
Molecule: long non-coding RNA, 1690 nt
Filed under: Heterocephalus glaber (naked mole-rat)
Lineage: Eukaryota; Metazoa; Chordata; Mammalia; Rodentia; Bathyergidae
Description: lncRNA (ENSHGLG00100038354.1)
Source: RNAcentral